AUUUAUCCAAAGUCUGAUUUCUCAGAACUAGCAAUUCAAGCUCCAGUCCAGUUGAACGCUUUGCACCCAAAGUGUCUAUACUGACUGAUUUCAUGCCCCUCAGCUACUGGAUUUUAACUUACGAUUUAUUGAGAUCAAAGUCAAGUGAUGCUAGAAGUCAAAGUUUUGAAAUUGGUGAAGGAAGAAAUGCAUUGUCAUGGCAUUAAGUGCCCGUCAGACAGAGGUACCAAACAGUUCAAAGAACAGUCAAAAGCUUUACAGACUAGCUUAGAUACGUUAAUGUCUGCAUACUGCCGCAGUCUACUUUGCAGAGUAUAUGGUACUGAUUAUCUCACUGCUGUCAUGUUCUUGAAGUUGCCUGUAUAUUAAGCUUAAAGAAGAAAAAACCCCAAUGCAGUAUUGUUACAGAACAAAGUUAGAAGUAUGUAAUGAAUAAUAUAUUCAAGUAUAAAAAAGUUUUCAAAUGUUCAGGAUUUUAAAUAAACUUAACACUUGUGCGGCAUUAAUGUUGCUGUUCAUUUUAGUAAAUACACUGCCUUCAGUUAAGAAUUCAUUAUGUUUUAAUCUCUGAAGUUUGGCAACACUUGUAUGGACAAAGCUUUUAUAAGGUAUCAAAGAAGCCAGAAUUGUUAGAAGCCUUCGUAGUUCUUCAAAAUCUCUGCUCUACUCUCCUUUUUGUAUCAAUAAUCAUACUGCAUUCUGUUUUCAGUGCAGUCCUGCAUUUUCUCACUAGCUCCUUAAAGACAUCUGAGGUUACACAAUCAAGUAGCCUUAGGUGCGUCCUUUUCUUUUUGAAGAUGAGGGAGCAGUGGUGAAGUGCUCAGGUUAUGUUUCCACACUGACCCACCUGUUGCUCUCUGAAAGUACCUGGACAUGAGGUAUUUUUGCUUUAUAUUCACCUUGUGUUUUUUCUACAAACAGAAGCACCAUGCUUAAAUGAAGGACAAAUGGUGAGACUUUUGAGGGUCUAAAUCUAGUGAGGUACUAAGUCAAUUAAUUUACAGAAGUCACUGGGAAACCUUCUAGAAGGAGUACACAGCACAUGAUAAAAGCAAGGCCUUUUAUUUGAAGCUCAUCAACAAUGUUUCUUAAUUAUCCAGAGAAAUAGUUGCUGUUUUAUUAAAAAGCCUCACCCUGAGGCUGAGCCUGCUUGCUCUACAGAGCUUCAGGUCUCUGCUGUCUAAGCAAUAAAACAAACUAGUUGUAGGAAUGAAAACUGUCUCCCCUCUGUCUGUCACAGCAAUGCCAGAUCAGAGGAAAAUCUGAACAAUACUCUCUUAAAGACUUGUCUUUUUCUUUUUCAAGCACUGCAAUAGAAUGUAUUUUCUGUGUCUGUUUCUUCAGUGGUUGCUAUCUACUAAACCAAGUCUUUAUGAAGGAGAAAUGUCACUGCAGUGUGUUUCCCAAGUGAUUAAAGUUGGUAAAUGCUGCAGCAUUACUUAUUCAGAUGCUGUUUGGGGUUUUGAGAACUCUUUAAUAAUUUUGCGUUUAAAAAAACCCAAAACCAAAACAUGGCCAAAAGAACCCAGCAAACUGUACAAUGGAAAAAAAAUGUUGGAGUCUCUGAUGUUGCUGAACGUUGCAUAAUGCUCCAUUCUAUUGUCUUCCGGAUUUCUUGGAAAUAUUUGUGCACUGUAUUGGGAUCAGUUGAGCCCCUUACCCACUCAUGCAAGGGGGGGAUCUGGUCCCAUACUGUUUAUUCAGGCAAUACUCUAACUGAAAUACAUGAGAAUUUCACAUGUGUAAAGAGUAAAGUAACAUCCAGAAUGGAAGUUCUGGUGCUUGCAUUUUCAUGGAUUAUGUAUUCCUCCAUAGGGGAGUGAACUGCAGUGGCAUGGAUGUUUUAAUGUUAGCUAUGAGAACCUGAAAGGUGCACUGGGGACAGAUAGUAUUAUCAAUAUAAAUUUAACUUAAAAGAUGACAAAUUCACUACAGGUGAUGCAAAAGUACGUGAUUUAUGUUUUAUUAACUUUGCCAGGGAAGUGUGAAUAGUUGCAUGUGACUUGCUGUGACCAGAGCCUUUAAUUAUUUUCAUGUGAAAGCAAUUACUAGUCCAAAGUAAUUACUACUGCUCAUCAGCUGUCAUCUGAUCACUCUUGUCUUCUAUACUAUUGUGUAACACUUCAGUCUUGGGCAGUAGGGCAGCCUAAUUUCCAAUACAGAUGCACAGAUUUCUAGGGAAAGAUAUUCUGGAUAUUGUAAAUGAAAUACUGUUAUGUUUUAUACAUGACAUUCAGUAAUGUCUGCUUAGGCUGUAUUUGUAAAGAUAGAAGUUAAUAAUUUCAUGUUCUUGAGUGGGUAACCCAGGGGAUGGAGGAGUUACGCUAUGUACAAUUAAUAUUUAUGAUCAUACAAAGCAUGUUGAUUAUAAAAAUAAUGUGCAUAGGAAUUCCUUUAAAAGUUUUGUGCAAUAAACUAUUUUUGGUAAAGG
This is a long non-coding RNA of Strigops habroptila (Kakapo), 2431 nucleotides long. NCBI's taxonomy places the organism in Eukaryota, Metazoa, Chordata, Aves, Psittaciformes, Psittacidae. The record is from Ensembl.